This 86-nucleotide transfer RNA is filed under the name Candidatus Woesearchaeota archaeon. RNAcentral's name for it is "tRNA-Leu". It matches the Rfam family "tRNA". From Rfam's summary of the family: Transfer RNA (tRNA) molecules are approximately 80 nucleotides in length. Their secondary structure includes four short double-helical elements and three loops (D, anti-codon, and T loops). Further hydrogen bonds mediate the characteristic L-shaped molecular structure. tRNAs have two regions of fundamental functional importance: the anti-codon, which is responsible for specific mRNA codon recognition, and the 3' end, to which the tRNAs corresponding amino acid is attached (by aminoacyl-tRNA synthetases). tRNAs cope with the degeneracy of the genetic code in two manners: having more than one tRNA (with a specific anti-codon) for a particular amino acid; and 'wobble' base-pairing, i.e. permitting non-standard base-pairing at the 3rd anti-codon position. Lineage: Archaea; Nanobdellati; Candidatus Woesearchaeota. The record is from RNAcentral.
GUGAGGGUUGCCAAGUCUGGUCAACGGCGCAGGACUUAAGAUCCUGUCACUCAACGUGUUCGUGGGUUCGAAUCCCAUCCCUCACA